AUUAAACGCUGGCGGCAUGCCUUACACAUGCAAGUCGAACGGCAGCGCGGGAGCUUGCUCCUGGUGGCGAGUGGCGGACGGGUGAGUAAUACAUCGGAACGUGCCCUGGAGUGGGGGAUAACGCAGCGAAAGCUACGCUAAUACCGCAUAUUCUGUGAGCAGGAAAGCAGGGGAUCGCAAGACCUUGCGCUCUAGGAGCGGCCGAUGUCGGAUUAGCUAGUUGGUGGGGUAAAGGCCCACCAAGGCGACGAUCCGUAGCGGGUCUGAGAGGAUGAUCCGCCACACUGGGACUGAGACACGGCCCAGACUCCUACGGGAGGCAGCAGUGGGGAAUUUUGGACAAUGGCGGAAGCCUGAUCCAGCCAUGCCGCGUGAGUG
Molecule: ribosomal RNA, 378 nt
Filed under: uncultured bacterium
Lineage: Bacteria
Description: bacterial SSU rRNA
Rfam family: Bacterial small subunit ribosomal RNA
Source: RNAcentral